Molecule: small nuclear RNA, 293 nt
Filed under: Rattus norvegicus (Norway rat)
Lineage: Eukaryota; Metazoa; Chordata; Mammalia; Rodentia; Muridae
Description: 7SK RNA
Rfam family: 7SK RNA
About the family: 7SK was discovered as an abundant small nuclear RNA in the mid-70s but a possible function has only recently been suggested. Two independent studies have found that 7SK RNA binds the CDK9/cyclin T complex (known as elongation factor P-TEFb). P-TEFb activates transcription by phosphorylating the C-terminal domain of RNA polymerase II.
Source: Rfam by way of RNAcentral
AUGUGGGGGGCUGCAGGCUGCCACAUCUGCCACCCCGUUACUUGCCAGGGUUGAUUCGGCUCAUCUGGCUGGCUAGACGGGUGUCCCCUUCCUCCCUCGCCACUCCAUGGGCAUCCCUCCCGAAACCACGCACUCAGUCUGAAGAGGGUGAUCUUCCCUGAAUAAAGGAGGACCGGUCUUUGGUCAAGGGUAGACAAGUAGCUGCCCCCCCCAGAACCUCCAAACAAGCUCUUAAGGUCCAUGUGUGAAAUGUCCAAACCUCCAGUCAUCUGAUACAUCCCUCAGCAACCGAG